UUAGGUCAUCAGUUACACCUGUGCAAUGUACAGUCUUAAAUUCCAACUCAGUUACACCUGUGCCACUCCUUUGUUUUCAGUGGGGUUGCACAGGUUGCAAAUGAAAAUAGCAUUUAGCUUUGGUAGUUAAUUAAAGUUUUGUUGUUGAUGAGCAAAAAGGAACACUAGAAAUGGCAGGUGAAUUGGUUUAGAGAAUCAGAACAUGAAGCAGCGGCACCCAUGCUUCCAAACCCCUCAUCUGAGGAGAGAAGAAGUAAAGAAUACUGUUCUCAGGCAUCUGGACCCUACCAGUUGUGGAGGUAGAAGGUGGCUGGCAACAGACCAGGCCUUUUAUCAUAUUGAGGGCAGAGGAUCAUCCCACCAUGCUUUCCAAGAAUUGUAGUUUUCAAGUGUACAAAAUACUAAACUUCUUAUCAAAAUACUUAAUUAUAAAUUAAAGUAAACUAAUUUCCAUUUCUAAUAGGGCCUUUCAUUAUCAAUAACAGGCCUGAAGACAUGGACAUUAAUUCUACAAUUAUUCAGAAAUAAUUCUCUGUGGGAAACUGAUUCUAGGAUAUGGAGGGUCUAAGCAAGAAAAUUCUCACAUACAAAAUGUUCUCUCCUCUCUGUUCCCUUCAUGUCCCAUCAUUCUAAUAAUGAAAUGUUCACAGCAGUAAGGCCAUAUCUGGGUCAGAAAAGGAUAGGAUCAAUAGUUAUGUACAAUAAUGAGAGAGCAGAAGUAGCCAAGGAAUUUUGGAGCUACCACAUACUUGACUCUCCUGACAGAUGCUGAAUCCACAGGAUACCGACUUUGCAGCAUCUCAGACAUGUGUACAGAAAGUCAAGUUGCUGCCUUCCAUUUGUUUUCAUGCAAAGCAUUUGACAUUGCUGCUAAUGAUGUUUCAGAUUCCCCAGUUUAAUGAGCUGUGAUGAUGUUGUGUGGAGCUGCUACUUUUGCCUUGUCUGGGCUCAUGAUUCAAACAUUGAUCCAGACCGCUGUGGUAGUCUUAUAGACUUUCUUGCCCAGAUACAAGUUUUGAAUGGUCUCUCAAACACAGUGGGCUACUGGUUUGUAGGCCAGUGAAUAAGUCACUAACUUCAGAGUCCAGGGAUAUAUCUGUUGCAAAUGAUGCUUCAAAAGAAGAUAUUUUUCAUCAUUGCCUUCAUUUUUAUUAUUCUUUGGGGAGGGAGACUGUCAGUUUGUCCAAACCAUGACAGCUAUUUCAAACACAAUAAUGCAGUGGAGGCCAAAAGGAGCUGAUGCAAUUACCUCCUCAUCUGCCCAGAGACACAAUUAUCUUCCUAUCUGCAGGACCUCUAGAUAAGAACUCACCUUCCACUGGAAUUACUGUCUGAUUAGUGAGGUGCUGCUGCAUCCAAUUUUGGAAUCUCUUGUUCUUUGGUACAAUGGAAAAUCUCUGGAGCAGCUGGCUGGGUAUUAUGGACCUACUGGGAAGCUCCCAUUAUGACGCCUUCAUAUGCCAAAUGGAGGGUGGAUUCACACACCCCUUUUAGGCACUGAGAGAAUACUUCCCCAGCAUUGCUUUGUAAGAAUCAGCUCUCCUUUGUGCAUCUGGACUCUCCUCCCUGCUGCUGGAGAUCUUGGCAAGUAGACAAGCCAGCUUUCUGUGACAGGUGUAGAUGAGCUGAGCACACACUGCAUUUCCUGUCCUUGUUUCUCCCCUUGUCUCCUUCAUAGAUGUAUUUGGCCAGGAGCGAGAUUGGAAACAGGAGAAUGCCUUAGUAAAACAUCUUUUCCAAAGCUCCAAGGAAUAAAUUUGCUGUUUCUCUUUAAUGGAACUGAAGUCCCAACUGAAAUAAGGUAGUUAAAGUUAAAAUAAGAGGAGGGUUGACUGAAAAGCUUCAUGAUGGAAGUCUGUAGUCUGCUGUUCACACUCCUUAGGCAGAGUAAUCUGGGAAAGGCUGAGAAGGCAAAAUCUUAUGCCCUAGCCAAGGCAACAGGAGAGAGAGAGAGAGAGAGAGGAGAGAGCCUCAGCUGGUGUAACUUGUCAGUUACUUCAGUGGAGCCAUGACAGUUUUUACUAUCUGACGAUCUGCCAUGUGGUCUGCCACCAACAUAGAGGAGAAAACCUGUGGCUAAAAUUGUUGGCCAUGAAGAUGAUAGAGAAGAACACUGAAUUAGGGGGCACAGUUAAUUUCACAGAAGCACAUAAGGUAGAAAUGUAAAAGUACUAUUUAGAUCCACCAGUGCCUUUCCCUGACAAUGCAGGAUUGCACCUUACAGUAGCUACUCUUCUUAUGCUAGUUACCCUAUUGAAGAUGCAAAGAAUGGAUAGGCUGAAUGUUGCAUACAAGAAAUAAUUUAAAAAUACUGUACAAGAACUGUUGAUUGCUUCGUAAGUGUGAAUGGAAAUAAUUUAGAGCAAAAAGACAAUUUUGGAUUCAGACAAAAGAAAGGCAUAACAGUAAUGUGGGGUCUAUGCAAAUGGAUCUUUUGGAGGAAUGAAGGCUGGGAUGGAUCUCAGUCCUGAAGGAUACCUUGUCACUGUGAAAGAUGCUGAGUUGUGGCUCACUGACAAGGUCUUCAAUUCUGAAAUUCUUCAGAGGUGAUUCAAAGGAAGGGGAUAGUUACCAGACUUAAUCACCAGGACCAAAGCCUACACCUGUAGUCACACAAAGUGUAAACUUGGAAACUGCAGCACUGAGAUGUCAAGCUUCAGAUUGUACUUUCCAGGAAAUAGCAGCAACUGUGGCUGUGGCUGUCUCGUUGGCAGAUUUCUUGUACACCCUCUUAUCUAGUUCCAUUUCUGGUUUUGCUUGUCGCUAAAGAGCUGUUUGUAGGGGCUGGUUCAUGAUCAGCCUGCUGUCGGGCUGUUCUGGAUGCAAUUAUUCUUUGAUUUACCACUGAACAUGUGGACUUUGCUCUUUCUUCUGCAUUUUAAAAUUAGGCCUUUCUGAAGAUUUAGUCAUCUUUUUCAGAUGAAAUAAAAGAUGUUUUGUUAAAUUUGAUUUAAACAAAAUAUUCAUAAGGAAGCCAUCACACAUUAUAGAGGACAUCCCUUGCAAAAUGAGGUUUUGUUAAACAUAGAUGACACUUGAAGCCUCUCCUGAAAAAAACAAAAGGGACUCUGUCUGGGUAAACUGUUUAUUAAAAAAUAAAGGCCUGUUACUGCAUCUACUGAAGUCAAUGGCAAAGCUUCCAUUUUCUCCAAUGAAACAGGAUCAGACCCUAAAUGUUUAUAAACAUUAGCUUUUGAGAUGACACCUCAAUUUUGUACUGUAACUGAAGAACUUCAAAGCUAUCAAAAAAUUGUCUCAGAUACAUAAUACACAGAAAACCUCAUUUUGAAUUGUUCCAGAAUUUUUUAUACAGAACGUGUAAAAGAGCAGCUAUGAUACCUUAUGACACUUAAAAUACGUUAAUAUUAACCAUCUCUGCUUAAAGAAAAGGAGUACCGGUGGCACCUUAGAGACUAACAAAUUUAUUAGAGCAUAAGCUUUCGUGAGCUACAGCUCACUAAUG
Long non-coding RNA from Dermochelys coriacea (leatherback sea turtle), 3463 nucleotides. RefSeq lists it as uncharacterized. The record is from RefSeq and is a predicted model, not a curated record. The transcript is spliced from 4 exons. Lineage: Eukaryota; Metazoa; Chordata; Testudines; Dermochelyidae.